CAACAACAUGAGCGACGCAGAGGCAGCAGGGGGCCAGGGCACACUCUCUGCAGGGACAGGAGUGAUUCACACGGUGCUGGAAGGGGGUGAAGCCAAAAGCCAGUGUUAAUUGAAGCCUAGCAGAAAAGGGAGCGAAACCAAGGCCGUUUAUCUACCAGUCAGUGCAGAGAGGACAGCUUUGAGUAUGAAAAAGAGGAACGGAAAGAGAAAAAAAGCAUCCCAUUUCAUCUCUGCAGGAACAUGACGGAGGAAUAAAAGCUAUACUAAAGUUCAAUGGUGCCUGUGAGUUUCUCUUCCUCCCGCAAUUUGUCACAAGCUGAGAGGUCCAUCCGAUUGGUGCACUCAGUUGUCCGGAUGAGUGCCUGAGGAGUUCGGUCAGGCGCACAGAUACGAUUCAGCAACAUGGUUCAGCAGCUCGCCAUGUGCCAUGCAGCUGGAAGUUUGAAAACAGCAGGCCACAGUCCCUGAGAGUAUUUGGAUGGAGUCGAGUCAUUUAAAAGGUUUUUGUAUGAAAAUUUUAAGCCAACAAAAGUAUCUAAAAUGCAUUUAUUUGGUACCAAAUGAUGAUAUUUUUUUUUUUUU
Long non-coding RNA from Carassius gibelio (silver crucian carp), 582 nucleotides. RefSeq lists it as uncharacterized. The transcript is spliced from 3 exons. Lineage: Eukaryota; Metazoa; Chordata; Actinopteri; Cypriniformes; Cyprinidae. The record is from RefSeq and is a predicted model, not a curated record.